RNAcentral lists this ribosomal RNA (537 nucleotides) under uncultured bacterium. RNAcentral's name for it is "bacterial SSU rRNA". It matches the Rfam family "Bacterial small subunit ribosomal RNA", at positions 102 to 674 of the family's 1533-position model. The record is from RNAcentral.
ACGGGUGAGUAACGCGUGGGAACGUGCCUUUCGGUUCGGAAUAACUCAGGGAAACUUGAGCUAAUACCGGAUACGCCCUUCGGGGGAAAGAUUUAUUGCCGAAAGAUCGGCCCGCGUCCGAUUAGCUAGUUGGUGAGGUAAUGGCUCACCAAGGCGACGAUCGGUAGCUGGUCUGAGAGGAUGAUCAGCCACACUGGGACUGAGACACGGCCCAGACUCCUACGGGAGGCAGCAGUGGGGAAUAUUGGACAAUGGGCGCAAGCCUGAUCCAGCCAUGCCGCGUGAGUGAUGAAGGCCCUAGGGUUGUAAAGCUCUUUCGCCAGGGACGAUAAUGACGGUACCUGGAUAAGAAGCCCCGGCUAACUUCGUGCCAGCAGCCGCGGUAAUACGAAGGGGGCUAGCGUUGUUCGGAAUCACUGGGCGUAAAGCGCACGUAGGCGGAUCUUUAAGUCAGGGGUGAAAUCCCGAGGCUCAACCUCGGAACUGCCUUUGAUACUGGAGGUCUCGAGUCCGGGAGAGGUGAGUGGAACUGCGAGU